This 184-nucleotide small nuclear RNA is filed under the name Erinaceus europaeus (western European hedgehog). Its description in RNAcentral is "7SK RNA". It matches the Rfam family "7SK RNA", at positions 1 to 188 of the family's 331-position model. Rfam says of the family: 7SK was discovered as an abundant small nuclear RNA in the mid-70s but a possible function has only recently been suggested. The record is from Rfam by way of RNAcentral. Lineage: Eukaryota; Metazoa; Chordata; Mammalia; Eulipotyphla; Erinaceidae.
AUAUGUGAGGGUUUUCUAGCUGCAACAUCUGUCACCCCACUGAUCACCAGGACUGAUUAGGCUGAUCUUGUUGGAUAGGCAGGAGUCCCCUUCCUCUUUCCAUCCUCAAUUUGUGCCCCUUUCCCAAGCUAACACUAAGAGAAGAUGGCCUGCACCAGUAGAAAAGGAUCAGUCUGAGGGAAAC